AAAUGGAUCUCUAUUCGGUAAUGUUUGAUUAUUUCUACGCACAUUAUCAACACCUGUGCUUUACUAUAUAAUACACUCACAACAACCACAAAUUGUCUUUCGAGUCUACAUUUCAACAAAAUGUUGAGAAUCUACCUAUUGGUGUUAAUAUUAGCUUCGGUGAUGUUGCUGGGAGAUGCCGCCCCAUGUUUUGGAAGCGGUCCCAAGGUCCAUGACGUUGACGAUGAUCAACCAGUUAUGACCACGUCCAUUCGAAGUCCAGCAAAUUUAUAAUUCACUCAAAUCACUAAAAUGGCAGGCAAAUUCCACUCGAGUGUAUUUUUUAUUAUUGCGGAUGAUGCACACAUUAGCUUUUUGCUUGUGCGUGGGUGAACUAAUUGAGAUGAUCUAACAUCCAUGCCAUCGACAGGAUUCAAACCCACGAGCCAGGCGGUGCUAGCAGACCGAAAUUUAUAACGCUCCUUACAACUAAACCAAGAUGCCGACUGAGUUCGCACUUUCUUCUGCUACAAAAUACAGUUGAUUGGAAUUUGAGUGAUAUUUUAGAACAUUAAGAGAAUUUGAUUGUACCAUAUUUCACAAAAAAUGCGUAGUUUGUUCAAAAAUUAAAAUCACAAUUAAAAAACCAAGAUGCCGGCUGAGUUCGCACUUUCUUCUGCUACAAAAUACAGUUGAUUGGAAUUUGAGUGAUAUUUUAGAACAUUAAGAUAAUUUGAUUGUACCAUAUUUCACAAAAAAUGUGUAGUUUGUUCAAAAAUUAAAAUUACAAUUAAAAAACCAAGAUGCCGGCUGAGUUCGCACUUUCUUCUGCUACAAAAUACAGUUGAUUGGAAUUUGAGUGAUAUUUUAGAACAUUAAGAGAAUUGAUUGUACCAUAUUUCACAAAAAAUGCGUAGUUUGUUCAAAAAUUAAAAUCACAAUUAAAAAACCAAGAUGCCGGCUGAGUUCGCACUUUCUUCUGCUACAAAAUACAGUUGAUUGGAAUUUGAGUGAUAUUUUAGAACAUUAAGAUAAUUUGAUUGUACCAUAUUUCACAAAAAAUGUGUAGUUUGUUCAAAAAUUAAAAUUACAAUUAAAAAACCAAGAUGCCGGCUGAGUUCGCACUUUCUUCUGCUACAAAAUACAGUUGAUUGGAAUUUGAGUGAUAUUUUAGAACAUUAAGAGAAUUUGAUUGUACCAUAUUUCACAAAAAAUGCGUAGUUUGUUCAAAAAUUAAAAUCACAAUUAAAAAACCAAGAUGCCGGCUGAGUUCGCACUUUCUUCUGCUACAAAAUACAGUUGAUUGGAAUUUGAGUGAUAUUUUAGAACAUUAAGAUAAUUUGAUUGUACCAUAUUUCACAAAAAAUGUGUAGUUUGUUCAAAAAUUAAAAUUACAAUUAAAAAACCAAGAUGCCGGCUGAGUUCGCACUUUCUUCUGCUACAAAAUACAGUUGAUUGGAAUUUGAGUGAUAUUUUAGAACAUUAAGAGAAUUUGAUUGUACCAUAUUUCACAAAAAAUGCGUAGUUUGUUCAAAAAUUAAAAUCACAAUUAAAAAACCAAGAUGCCGGCUGAGUUCGCACUUUCUUCUACUACAAAAUACAGUUGAUUGGAAUUUGAGUGAUAUUUUAGAACUUUUGAGAGAAUUUAUACCAUUUCACAAAAAAUGUGUAGUUUGUUCAAAAAUUAAAAUGAUUUGAUUCAA
Molecule: long non-coding RNA, 1682 nt
Organism: Nilaparvata lugens (brown planthopper)
Lineage: Eukaryota; Metazoa; Arthropoda; Insecta; Hemiptera; Delphacidae
Exons: 2
Source: RefSeq, a predicted model, not a curated record